UGCCAGCAGCCGCGGUAACACGGGGGGCGCAAGCGUUAUUCGGAAUUAUUGGGCGUAAAGGGUGCGUAGGCGGGCUAUUAAGUCGGAUGUGAAAGCCCUGGGCUUAACCUGGGAAUGGCAUUCGAUACUGGUGGGCUAGAGUCUGAUAGAGGGUAGCGGAAUUCCGGGUGUAGCGGUGAAAUGCGUAGAGAUCCGGAGGAACAUCUGUGGCGAAGGCGGCUACCUGGAUUAAGACUGACGCUGAGGCACGAAAGCGUGGGGAGCAAACAGGAUUAGAUA
RNAcentral lists this ribosomal RNA (279 nucleotides) under uncultured bacterium. Its description in RNAcentral is "partial 16S ribosomal RNA". It matches the Rfam family "Bacterial small subunit ribosomal RNA", at positions 506 to 784 of the family's 1533-position model. The record is from RNAcentral.